ACUCCUACGGGAGGCAGCAGUGAGGAAUAUUGGUCAAUGGAGGCAACUCUGAACCAGCCAUGCCGCGUGCAGGAAGACAGCCUUAUGGGGUUGUAAACUGUCUUUUUUAUGGGGAAAGAAACCCCGUGGACGUGUCCGGGGGCUGACGGUACCAUAAGAAUAAGGACCGGCUAACUCCGUGCCAGCAGCCGCGGUAAUACGGAGGGUCCAAGCGUUAUCCGGAUUCAUUGGGUUUAAAGGGUGCGUAGGCGGGGUACGUUAAGUCAGUGGUGAAAGCCUGCAGCUUAACUGUAGAAUUGCCAUUGAAACUGAGACUCUUGAGUAUAGAUGGAGUGGCGGAAUACGGCAUGUAGCGGUGAAAUGCAUAGAUAUGCCGUAGACACCGAUCGCGAAGGCAGCUACAC
This 404-nucleotide ribosomal RNA is filed under the name uncultured bacterium. RNAcentral's name for it is "bacterial SSU rRNA". It matches the Rfam family "Bacterial small subunit ribosomal RNA", at positions 335 to 730 of the family's 1533-position model. The record is from RNAcentral.